RNAcentral lists this ribosomal RNA (468 nucleotides) under uncultured bacterium. Its description in RNAcentral is "partial 16S ribosomal RNA". It matches the Rfam family "Bacterial small subunit ribosomal RNA", at positions 28 to 507 of the family's 1533-position model. The record is from RNAcentral.
GACGAACGCUGGCGGCGUGCUUAACACAUGCAAGUCGAACGGAAAGGCCCUGCUUUUGUGGGGUGCUCGAGUGGCGAACGGGUGAGUAACACGUGAGUAACCUGCCCUUGACUUUGGGAUAACUUCAGGAAACUGGGGCUAAUACCGGAUAGGAUCUCCUGCUGCAUGGUGGGGGUUGGAAAGUUUCGGCGGUUGGGGAUGGACUCGCGGCUUAUCAGCUUGUUGGGGGGGUAGUGGCUUACCAAGGCUUUGACGGGUAGCCGGCCUGAGAGGGUGACCGGCCACAUGGGGACUGAGAUACGGCCCAGACUGGAAUGGGAGGCAGGGGUGGGGAAUAUUGCACAAUGGGGGGAAGCCUGAGGCAGCAACGCCGGGUGCGGGAUGACGGCCUUCGGGUUGUAAACCGAUUUCGCCUGUGACGAAGAGUGAGUGACGGUAAUGGGUAAAGAAGCACCGGCUAACUACGUG